AUUGAACGCUGGCGGCAGGCCUAACACAUGCAAGUCGAGCGAGCGGCGGACGGGUGAGUAAUGUCUGGGAAACUGCCUGAUGGAGGGGGAUAACUACUGGAAACGGUAGCUAAUACCGCAUACCAUCAGAUGUGCCCAGAUGGGAUUAGCUAGUAGGUGGGGUAAUGGCUCACCUAGGCGACGAUCCCUAGCUGGUCUGAGCGGAUGACCAGCCACACUGGAACGUAGACACGGGCCAGACGCCUCCGGGAGGCAUCAGGGGGGAGUAUUGCACAAUGGGCGCAAGCCUGAGGCAGCCAUGCCGGGUGUGAGAAGUGGGCCUUCGGGUUGUAAAGCACGUUCAGCGGGGAGGCGUUACCCGCAGAAGAAGCACCGGCUAACUCCGUGCCAGCAGCCGCGGUAAUAC
RNAcentral lists this ribosomal RNA (406 nucleotides) under uncultured bacterium. RNAcentral describes it as "partial 16S ribosomal RNA". It matches the Rfam family "Bacterial small subunit ribosomal RNA", at positions 29 to 526 of the family's 1533-position model. The record is from RNAcentral.